UAAAACUGUCGCAUGCAACCUGCUUACAACUUGAGUUGUAUACACUGUGUAAAUCAAGCACACAACUCACUUUAGACACCGUAAACGAGUUGUGUGCUUGAUAUUACAGCUCAAGUUGUGAGCAGGUUGCAUGUGACAGUUUUAAGCAAACGUUGUGUAGUGUCUGAAAUCGGUCUUAAAAUUCAAGGCUGUU
Molecule: non-coding RNA, 193 nt
Organism: Paramuricea clavata
Lineage: Eukaryota; Metazoa; Cnidaria; Anthozoa; Malacalcyonacea; Plexauridae
Source: the annotation of a GenBank genome assembly